UAUCAUUAAAAACAUAAUACAUGCAUUAUUGAAGAAUACAUUUCAUUUUCUUUGAAAUUUGCAGUUCCUAUAUUGUCCGCUAGGGGCGCUGUGUUUGAGUCGGCUCUAUGCUUUACCUGCUUUUUCUGUUUACUUUGGCACCCUCUUCAGUGAAAUGUAUUUGUCAAAAAAGAGAAAAGUGGACACAGAGUGUCGGAUUUUUCAAGAAGGAUGGACCUCUUCCAAUACGUUCACGGAGGUGAAUGGGAACCCGUGUGCCUGGUGUGCAUGCAGCAAGUUUCGGUGCUUAAGGAAUACAAUAUUCGGCGCAACUAUGAAUCUCAGCUUGGUGAAAAAUACAACUUGCAUGGAGAACUGAGAAAACAGAAGGCUAGGACAAUGAAGACACGAUCCUUGAGGAACAAGACCAGGAGACUCAAUCAAGUGGCCCGCCAUGUGGCCUGGUGGUUCAGGAUGCCCCAGCAUGACUAAAAGACACCCAGGAGUGAACCAGCGAAAGUGGGAGACAAAUUGAGGAAAGGUCUGAAAAAGUCCAAAAUUGGUUAAAAAUCAUACCCAGAAUUGAGUUCCACAAGUCCUGCCAUGUGCCCUGGUGUUCCGGGGGUGCCCCAGCAUGACUAAAAGACACCCAGAAGUGAACCAGCGAAAGUGGGAGACAAAUUGAGGAAAAGUCUGAAAAAGUCCAAAAUUGGUUAAAAAUCAUACCCAGAAUGGAGUUCCACAAGCCCCGCCAUGUGCCCUGGUGGUCCGAGGGUGCCCCAGCAUGACCAAAAGACACCCAGGAGUGAACCAACGAAAGUGGGGGACAAAUUGGGGAAAAGUCGGAAAAAAAGUCCAAAAUUGGUUAAAAAUCAUACCCAAAAAGGAGUUCCACAAGUCCCGCAGCGAGCUGCAUGAGCCCUGGGACCCCCGGGAAUGAACAAAAAGCACCCAGGAGUGAACAAGACCAGGAGACUCAAUCAAAUCCAGAGAGCUCCUCUGAUUUAGAUCUAGCUCCCAGUGGCUAAAUGCAGCAAAACCAUGAAAAAGUAAGCACUUGUAUUGUAUGGAACCAGUCUGUGCUAAACAGUACAAAACUUGUGUUGUCUGAAUAUUUUAUUGUACCAAAAUGUUCAGUAUUCUUUCAAAUUCAAACAUAUUUUUAUGGUUAUAGUUUCCUGUAAUGUCAUUUAAAUUAAAUCUGCAUGACACAGGCGCUAUGUUUAUUAUAAAUCAUAGGUGAAGUAUAUGAGGACACAGAAAUGGCCUUUAAGAAACCAUAAUUUAUUUUUAGUUUUAAAUCUACAGUUAAGAUGCGAGUCUGCGAACGCUUUGAGUUUAAUCCUAGAUUAAGUAAAAAUGCAUACACCAAAAAAUGUACUCAGGUGCAGAGUGUUAUAGUUAUAUGAAUAUACAUAGCAGCUUGGAUGAGAUUAUUCAAAACUAUACAUAAUACAAUAAUUACAAAAAUUAUAAUACAUUUCUUUGUUUUAUUGGUUUGUGUAUUAAAUUAUCAAUAGAGAGGAGAGACAAUCAGCCAGGUCAAGAUCAGCAACUCCUGAGAUGGGUAACACAGAGCUCCUGCAUCCACGAUCUACUGAGGAUGUUGGCAGUCAUACUCCACAGUCAACAAGAAGGCAUGGAUCAGAAGAGGACUGUUUAAAGCCUGUGCCAAAUCAAGAUGCAGACCAGUUAAGUGAUGUCUCAGAUUCCCCUCUAAAUCCUACCAUUCAACAAUCUCUUGAGGACUCUGAAGUGAAGUUUGUACCAAUUGUUGGUGAUGAUUGUGAUAAUCAAGACACCACCCUUCCCUGAAAUCCACAUGACUUGAGCAAAAUGCAGGUACAAUGUAGCACUAACGUUUUACAGUCCAGUAAAAUUAUUAGUGCCAAUGUCAAUGAAUUCAAAGAGUUUUUCUUAUUCAUUCCGUCUAUAAAAUUAUAAAAUGUACAAAAACUGUAACGUUACCAUCCGAAAAUCUUUCACCCUAAGGUUAUGUUUUUAAAUUAUUUUUUUAUCCAAACAUUCCAAAACUCAUUUGCAAUUUAAUGCAUCGUAGUAUGAAAUAGCAAAUCUAAAACCACAACAUUAUCACCAUUUUUUCAUGCUAAUUGAUUGUCAAAAUAUUUGAUUAUUUUCUGCUCACUAAAGGAUUAAUCAAUCAAUAAUCACACCUAAUUACCUUUUUAAAAUAUCUUGCAGCAUUCUACAUUCAAUGAUGGUCCUGUAUCAUCAAAUUGUCUUCCAGCAUCACCAGAUCCAUUUGACAAAGAAAUCUUACUUUUGAAAUUAAGACGAGUAAACAUAGUUGAUGAUGUCCUUAAUGUCGUCAUGGAUCCAAAAGUACUGAAUGCUAGUCUACGAAUGGAGUUUACAAAUGAGAAAGCUAUGGACACUGAUGGUGUGUCAAGAAAGGCGUACUCCGCAUUCUGGGACCACUUCUUGGACCAGUGUGAGGGGGAAGAUAAACGAGUACCCAGACUACGACCAGACUUUUCUGAGAAGAAAUGGCAAGCUCUCGGAAGAGUGUGGUUGAAAGGAUACCUGGACCACAAAAUCCUACCAAUCAGACUGUAACCAGCCUUUGUUCUUGCCUGUUGUGAAGGAGUUAGCUCCGUGGAUGAAGAACUAUUGAUGAUGUCAUUUGCCAGAUUUCUUUCAGAGAAUGAGUGUGUGUCGCUUGAAAAAGCACUUAAGGGUACCAUUGAUGAAACUGUUGAGGAGGACUUACUUGAUAUCUCCUCCAGAAUGGUCUCACACUGCCUGCCCCCUAAAGACAAUUUAUGGGCUGCUAUUUUAACAAUGGCACACAAAGCUAUUCUUCAAGAGCCAAGGUUCAUAAUUGACUGUUUCCACUCCAGUGUUCAUAAUGCAAUGCCAACGCUCAUAACACAAGACAACAUAAUGGAGAUAUAUGAAUCUAAGAGGCCAACUAACAAGAAAGUGGCUCAGAUGAUGAAUCCAUCAUUUGAAAUCCUAAAUCCACAAGAGCAGACUGCUCUUAACCGCCUGCAACGGUAUGUGAGAAGCAUCGACCAAAGAAAAUUGGAGAUCUUCUCACGCUUCUGCACAGGAUCUAGUGUGCUCUGCAAAGACACAAUUGAAGUAACUUUUAACACAUUGUGUGGUUUAAGUCGCAGGCCUGUAGCACGCACAUGUGGAGCAGUUCUUGAGUUACCAUGCACUUACAGCACAUACCCUGAGUUUCGCAAAGAAUUUGAAAAUGUCUUGUCUGGCGACUGCUUCACAAUGGAUAUUGUGUAGUGAAUGCAAAGCACAUCCAUCAUAUUCACACUGAGGUUAUUCUGGAAUUUGUCUGAUGCCAAACUGUUUCUACAGAUUUCUAUUGAUUGUUAUUUUUGAAACAGAAACCGUUUACAUUUUUUAAAUUGUUUUAUUUUCUUAUUUUUUUCUGUAAAUUGUUAGUACAUUGAGAUUUAAUAUUUUUCCACAAGACAGUUUGAGUUCAAUAAUUUUGAUAGUCAGCAGGGUCUGUUCUCAUAGGUGAAUGUCCCUUUUUGUACAGUUAUUACAUUUUCAUGUGCAUCUUGCAUGCAAUUGUUAUUCUGAAUGAUGUUCAACAUUCAGCAUUUUGGUCAUUUAACAAAGAAAUUCCUGUUCAAAUCAAGUACAAUACAUUUCUAAUGGUUGUUCAGUUAUGUUCAUUUCUUCUUUCAUGUCCUGCCUUGUUUCUCUUUGUAGCCAGUGUGCAUGUAGGGACAUAUCAAUCCUAUUUGCACCUCAGUGUUUCUGCAAAAGGUUCUUAAUGUUUGUGGCAUAGCACUGUUCAAGUGUAGUACGUGUGGACAUGUUGUAGCCCUGAAUAACCUGAAUAAAAUCCAUCUUAAAUUAGA
This is a long non-coding RNA of Nerophis ophidion (straightnose pipefish), 3833 nucleotides long. RefSeq lists it as uncharacterized. The transcript has 2 exons. The record is from RefSeq and is a predicted model, not a curated record. NCBI's taxonomy places the organism in Eukaryota, Metazoa, Chordata, Actinopteri, Syngnathiformes, Syngnathidae.